Molecule: ribosomal RNA, 301 nt
Filed under: uncultured bacterium
Lineage: Bacteria
Description: partial 16S ribosomal RNA
Rfam family: Bacterial small subunit ribosomal RNA
Source: RNAcentral
CAGCAGCCGCGGGAAUACGUAGGUGGCAAGCGUUGUCCGGAAUUAUUGGGCGUAAAGCGAGCGCAGGCGGUUAGAUAAGUCUGAAGUUAAAGGCUGUGGCUUAACCAUAGUACGCUUUGGAAACUGUUUAACUUGAGUGCAAGAGGGGAGAGUGGAAUUCCAUGUGUAGCGGUGAAAUGCGUAGAUAUAUGGAGGAACACCGGUGGCGGAAGCGGCUCUCUGGCUUGUAACUGACGCUGAGGUUCGAAAGCGUGGGGAGCAAACAGGAUUAGAUACCCGCGUAGUCCCUGUCUCUUAUACA